GACGAACGCUGGCGGCGUGCUUAACACAUGCAAGUCGAACGGAAAGGCCUCUUUCGGGGGGUACUCGAGUGGCGAACGGGUGAGUAACACGUGAGUAACCUGCCCUUGACUUUGGGAUAACUUCAGGAAACUGGGGCUAAUACCGGAUAGGAGCUCCUGCUGCAUGGUGGGGGUUGGAAAGUUUCGGCGGUUGGGGAUGGACUCGCGGCUUAUCAGCUUGUUGGUGGGGUAGUGGCUUACCAAGGCUUUGACGGGUAGCCGGCCUGAGAGGGUGACCGGCCACAUUGGGACUGAGAUGCGGCCCAGACUCCUACGGGAGGCAGCGGUGGGGAAUAUUGCACAAUGGGUGGAAGCCUGAUGCAGCAACGCCGUGUGCGGGAUGACGGCCUUCGGGUUGUAAACCGCUUUCGCUCAUGACGAAGCUUUGUGUGACGGUAGUGGGUAAAGAAGCACCGGCUAACUACGUG
Molecule: ribosomal RNA, 467 nt
Filed under: uncultured bacterium
Lineage: Bacteria
Description: partial 16S ribosomal RNA
Rfam family: Bacterial small subunit ribosomal RNA
Source: RNAcentral